AGCGUGAGGGCGCACGGAGGUGUGGCUGGAGUUUGCAGCCUGGUGAUUGAAUGAAGCGCUGGGCGCCCUGCUGCAAUCAAGCUACGCGCUAGGCUAUUGGCUCUGGCGUGAGGCGCGCAGAGAUGACGUCGAGGAAAUCAUUUUGGUAGUUUAUUUUGUGUGGUGCUAAGUGACCUUUAAUCUUUGCUUUUGGCCCCCAUCGGUAAGGACAGCUAUUGAAAAGGUCAAAAAACUGCCAUUCAGAAGAAAGGAACAGAGCCAAGUAAUCGACAAAGUGUCUUCUCUCGAAAUGGAUGAAGUGGUGGAAAUAGAAGAUAUUGAAAGGAUUGGGUAUAAUAUAGUGCAGGAGCUUAAUGACUUAGGUUCAGUGGUAAAACAGGUAAUGUCAGGGAGUUGAAAGAGGUAACAGAUGUGCAAACCGGAUUGGCCAUCAAAUGGAAUUACUGCAGUAAAGUCACAGCAAGAGAAGACCUCACGGAAUGCAAAGCAAAGGGGAGGAGGCAUCAAGAUAAGACAACAGAAGAAAGGCCUAGAGGGUCCGGCCAGGAAAUGCAAUCUUUGAGGAAUAGGAGUACCUGAAACAGGACAAAGCAAACGGCGCUGCAACAAUAAUUAACGAGCUAAUUGAAAAAAAAAAUUUCUAGAGUUGAAAAACCAACUAGAGCUACAAGUGGAAAAAGCUCACAGGAUACCUUUAAAAUUUAACAAAAAUAAAGCGACUCCCAGACAUAUCCUAAUAACGCUUUUAAAUCUUGAGGAUAAAGAAAAAGUUUUACAAGUAUCCAGACAGAGAAAGCAGGUUACCUAAAAAGGGACAAAAUCAGGCUGACUUCAGAAUUUCCUUUUGCAACUCUAAAUGCCAGAAAACAAUGGAACAAUAUCUACAGAGUUUUAAGGGAAAAUAAUUUUGAGCCAAGAAUUAUAUACCCUGCUAAGUUGUUGUUUCUGUACAAAGGGAAUUGGAAGACAUUCUCAGGCAGGGCUUAACAAAGUAUGUCAACCAAGAGCCUUCCCUCAAAAAUUUGCUGAAUGAUUUACUGCAACCAACAGCGAACAGCAAUUGAAGUGAGUAGAGAGGCAAUUUUAUAGAAGAGUAAUGGUGACCAUUAAAACUAAUCAAAGAGCAUUAAGUAUAAAUUAUGUUAUGUUAGGGCUGUAAAACUAAAUAUAAAAAUAGACUUGUGAACUAUGUCAAAAAUUUCAGUUGAUAGAAUUUUAAACUGAAAAAGCAUGCCAAAUGUUCAAUAUAUUGAACAAAUACAUACUGUUUUAUGAUGUAGUGUUGUACAUAAAGAUAUGCAUGUUCUUAAUAAAAAUGAAAGAGCUUUGUCACUGGACAGGACAGGUAUAGUCAAGGCAUUCUAAAUAGUAAUCUGACAGAGUUAGAAAGUGCAGGUUCUGUUAUUUUUUUCUUAUAAAAGGGGAGAGGUACCAAAUUUGUCCAUGUUUAUAUUGGAAGUAUAAAAAGAAAACUAGUUGGAGAUGAGUUGGGUAAAAUUUUGUUCUGUGUACAUUUUGCUUGGGGAAAAACAAUAGCUACUUCCUUAUGUAAUGUUCAUCUAAGUCAAUAUAACAUCAAUGUGUUAGACAAAAAUAGAAUAUACAUAUACCCUGCAACUUUUUGAUUGAAGAAGAAAUGGUAAAAGACCAAGAAAAUACAGGAAAAGGAAAAUGGCAGGUGGCAUUUAAAUUGGUAUAAAAUACAUUGAGGUACAGAAGUUAUAAACUGGUUAUAAAUAUCUCAAUUAUCAGGUAGGGUCAAAAGUCAGAGUAACUAUGCAUACUGAAAUUGUAUAAAACCAUGAAUAAAAGUAAGGAUUGUGGGAACUAAGCCACAGAAAUAGAGAGCAACAUUUGUGUUAAUUCAAGCAUGUGACAAUUCAAGAUAUAACAUUAAGGAGAUUAUGUGGUAAAUGUGGCAUCCAUCUAAAACAAAUGUUCCACAGCUUGACAUGGGUGAUAGUUUUACUGAUGUAAACCAAUAGAUUUCAUUAACACUGUACACUUAAAAUUGCAUUUUAUGAACUAAAAAUUCAUUGAAUAUCUUGCAAAGAAGAGAACACCCAGCAAAAACUGUUGAACUCUAACUUCAACAUUUAUUUAAUAGUUAAAUGGAAGGCUAAAUGGGUACUUAAAUAAUGAAGAGAGAGUGUGUGAGUGUAAUGUAGAUUAUUUCAUUACCUUAAUUGCAUUUUUUCAUUUAGCCUGGAGAAAUUCUAAGUUAUUGUAUGCUAGAUUACAAAGAAUACUUGAGUAAUGUUCUAGAAAGCACAAAUGACCAUAUAACGAAACUAAGAGGUUUUGACACAGGAAAAAAAAAUGCAUACUUGGAAUUUUUUUUAAGAUUUUAUUUUAUUUUAUUUAUUUGAAAGAGUUACAGAGAGAGGUAGAGACAGAGAGAGAGUUCUUCCAUCCACUGGUUUACUCCCCAGAUGGCUGCAACGGCCGGAGCUACGCCAAUCCAAAGCCAGGAGCCAAGAGCUUCUUCUGGGUCUCCCAUGUGGGUGCAGGGGCUCAAGGACUUGGGCCAUCUUCUGCUGCUAUCCCAGGCCAUAGCAAAGAGCUGGAUUGGCAGAGGAGCAGCCAGGGGCUAGAACCGGCGACCAUAAGGGAUGCCGGCAUUUCAGACCAGGGCUUUAACCUGCUGAGUCACAGUGCUGGCCCCCCAUACUUGGAAUUUUUAAUGCUCUUAAGUAAUCUUUGGGUUAAAAAGAAAAGUAGUAAUGAUUUAGCAAGUGCAAUCAUGAGGGCAUUCUAUUUUACAUGUCAUGAGAUAGUUGAUAUAAACUAUCUCUACCCUGGAAUUUCAGUAAUAUUCUGUUUUAUUAUGUUUUAUGUGAAUAGAAUUUUUUUUUGGAGAACUUGAGACAUUUUGGAUUUCAUGUCUGGGUAAAAGUGAUGGAACAUAAUAAACCAUACUCUGAAUUAGAAAUUGGAGACAGAGAAGGAAGGCCCUGAGGAAAAAAGACAAUUAAAAAAAAAAAAAACAGAUUGGUUGAUUUAUUUGAAAGUGAGAGACAGCAAUGUCUUUCUUCAGCUGAUAUAUCCUCUGGAUGAUUGUUUAACAGCCAGAGUUGGGCCAGGCCAAAGCCAGGAACUUCAUCGGGGUCUCCCACAUGGGUGGAGGGGGCACAAACACAUGAGCCAUCUUCCACUGUUUUUCCUAGGCCAUUAGCCAGAAGCUGGGUUGGAAAUGGAGCAGCCCAGACAGGAACCACCAACCAUAGGCGAUGCUGACAGCAGCAGUGGCAGCUUUACCUACCACACCACAACACUGGCCCCAAUGAAAACCCAAUGAGAAACAAACUUUCAGAGGCAUUUGAUGUACCAUGGUGUACAUUUUGAAGUUUCAUGUAGGCAAUCUCCCUCUCUUCCAAAUAAAAUGAAAAUAAACAACCAAAAAUUGAAAAACAAAUUAAGUUUUACAAAGAUUGGAACUCUCCAGGAUAAAAGGGGAAUUCCUCCUACCUAACUUCCUUUUAAUUGUUUCAUUGUUUUGUUGUUUCAUUUUCCUGCUUUUGUACUUGAACUAAUAACGUUGGUUUGGUUCAUUCUGGCUGUGGAAUCUGAUGGCCUUCAGACUGGAACUCACUGUUGGCCUUCCCAAGUCUCUGGCUUACUGUUUAUAGAUCUGGGGAUUUCUCAGUCUCUAUCAAUUGUGAGAGCCAGUCUCAUACACAGACGUGCAUGAGGGAGUCUUCCAAAGAACUCAUGUAAAACAUGUAUUAUGAAAAUAAAAGAUGAGUUUAUUUUAGUACAAAAAUAUUUUGAAGGACUGGGGUUGUGGCACAGAGGGUUAAGCUACCACUUGCAACACUGGUAUCCCAUAUGGUCACCAGUUCCAAUCCUGGCUGCUGUACUUCCCUGCUACCUGGGAAAGCAGUGGAACAUGGCCCAGGCCCUUGGGCCAGCUACACAUGUGGGAGAUGCAGAUGGAGUACAAGGCUCCUGGCUUUGGCCUGACCCAGCAAAUGGAGGAUAUCUGUUUUUCCCUCUCUCUCUCUUACUCUGCCUUUCAAAUAAAUAAAUCUUUUAAAAAACAUUUUGAAAUGUAUGCAUAGUCUUUUCAUUAUAUACAUUUUACACAAACUUUUUGAAGUCCUGAUGUGUGUACGGAUUUCAAGAGUUUUUGCACCAAAAUAAACUUAUGUUUUAAUUCCAUUUCCACAAACACUGAAAUAUUAUAUGCAAACUUGUUAUAUUGGAUGUUGUCUGGCUGUCUUCUUUGACACACCUCCUCCUGCUUUUUCUCCCUUGUGUUUGCUGUUCUUAAUCUUAUCUCUCUGAAAUUUGCUGAGCCCCUUAGUGCUCUAUGCCAUGUCCAUUUUUCACUCUAUACACUUUCUACCAACUUCAACUCCCAUGGCUUCAAUUACUGCAUCUCUGUGACAAUUAGAUCUUUCUCCCAAGUUUCACAGUAUAUUGGAAUUUUCUAGAGAAACAGAACCAAUAUUUAAACAGACAUAUAAGGGACCUAUGGGAAUUGGCUCACACAAUUAUGGAGGCUGAGAAGCCCCACAAUAUAUAAUCUGCAAGCUGGAAAACCAGUGGUAUUCAGUUCCAGUCCAAAUGCCUGAAAACCCGGAAAUGAACCUCUGAGGACAGGGGAAGACAGAUGUCCCAGCUCAGGAAGAGUGAGCUUUCCUUCCUCUACCUUGUAGGUUUGGAUUACGCCAACCCAGCUUUCUGCUUAUGGCUGGGGAACAAAGUAGAAGAUGGCCCAGAGAGCUGGACCAGAAUAGGAGCAGCCAGGAAUGAACUGGCAGCCAGGUGGGAUGCUGGUGCUGGUGCCACAGGUGAGGACUUAGCCUACUACGCACAGCACUGACCCCACUGUAUUUCUUACAGUGCAGAAUUCUCUAAGGCCCUAUUCAAUGCAUACACAUGCUAUAAUCUUUCAAUCUUUAGCCUUUCUGGAUUUUAAUGCCUUGAAUUCUCCGACUCUUUUUGCCUUGGGAAUAGUAUCUCACCACUGGAAGAAUCUCAUCUGCUGUCAUUCUGUGCUAGCCUUAUCUACAGUCAUUCACCAUUAAUCCAUUUAUUCUUAUUAGAAACAUCCUAUUUUGCUUUAUUGUACCUGCACUUGUCUUCUAUUUCAUGCGUUUGAAUAUAAUGAAGCAUAAUCCAACUGGACCUGUCUUCCUCAUCUUUCAGUCUGUCUUCAUUAUUUAAUGUAGUACUUAGCACAUAGAAGUCAUUUAAUAAACAUUUUAAUGAAUCAAGUAGAUAAAGGAACAUUUUAGUUAUUUACAUACCUUAAAUUAUGCAGUUGUGGAGAUACUGACUAACAUUUUGUUCUCGAUAUUCCACAGACAUAACAUACCAGCUUUCAGUGGUUAUUAGGAGACUAAAAGACCUGAACUUGUCCCUGUGAUAAGCUUUUAACCAAUGGCUACCAUUAUACCAAUAGAAUACCAGUGAAUGCAGAGAACAUUUUAUAGAACUCUCUCUCUUUGUCUUAAAUUUCUAGUCUGCCUCUUCAUUUUUGUUUUCACAUACUUAAAGUAUUUUCAGUUACAUUUUAAAAUCUGUCAUUUUUUUCCUCUGUGCCCUUUGCCAGAUCCUUUUUCCUAAGUUGUUUCUCUUCUUCCUUUAUAAUAAGUAUGCAUUUUUCCCUUUCCUAACUCUAAAAAAUUAUUGGCAUUAAAAAGAAUACCAAAGUGGUGGAAACUGAUGUGGUGACUAUAGUAAAUUCAUACUCAGUAUCCCUUCCCCCUCUUCCCCUCCCCUCCCCUUGCCCUCUCCCUAGCAUCUUCUCCCUAGCAUUGAAAGAGGUUUCAGAGGGGUAGGAAUUUGGCACAGCAGUUGAGAUGCUACUUGGGAUGUCCCCAUCCCAUAUUAUAGUGCAUGGGUCCUGUCCUAACUCUGCUUCUGAGUCCAGCUUCCUGCUAAUGCCUACCCUGGAAGGCAGCAAGUGAUGGCUCAAGUCCUUGGGUCCCUGCCACUCACGUGGAGACCUGGAUUGAUUUCCAGGCUCCUGGCUGUGACCUGGUCCAGCCCUGCCUAUUGGGAUUUGGGGAGUAAGCCAGUCGAUGUUUCUCUCCCCUCCCCUCACUUUUAAAUACAUUUUAUAAUUCUUUUACAGUUCCAAAGACAUAGAUAUUUCAUUUCUUACAUUCUUUUGUAGGAUUCUGGUUACAAAUUGUUUCCAUCAGUUAGAAAAAAUGCCCAACCUUAAUUGAUAUAUUGAGAUGAACUCUUUUUUUUUCUGUUAUUUCAGAUGACAAUAUUGAUUAGGACACUUAUAAAGAUCUAAGUGGCACUGCAGCAGCAUUCCUGUGUCCAAUGCCUAAAGUCUCAUUUUUAAGGAUUUUCAUGAUCUCUGAUGAAUGUUACAUCAGUAUAUUCUUGAAGUCAUCAAGUUUCUGUAAUCACCUCUUUAUACCAUGACUUCCUAUUUUAAAUCAAAAUGAAUGUAAAGAUUUAAAAACAUCUUUUUUGAAUUAUUUUUAAUACAAAAUAAUUUACAAAUAAGAUCCUAUACAGAAGUCCAAUAUAUGAUACACAUUUUUUUUUGAAAAAUAAACCAAUGAGGCUGGCGCCGUGGUUCACUUGGCUAAUCCUCUGCCUGCAUCGCCGGUACUCCGGGUUCUAGUCCCAGUCGGGGUGCUGGAUUCUGUCCUGGUUGCUCCUCUUCCAGUCCAGCUCUCUGCUGUGGCCUGGGAAGGCAGUGGAGGAUGGCCCAAGUCCUGGGAGACCAGGAGGAAGCACCCAGCUCCUGGCUUCGGAUCGGCGCAGCGCACCAUCCAUAGUGGCCAUUUGGGGGUGAACUGAGGGAAGGAAGACCUUUCUCUCUCUGUUUUGCUUUCUCUGUCACUGUCUAACCCUGCCUGUCAAAAAAAAAAAAAAAAAAAAAAAAGAAAAAUGAACCAAUGAGACUGAGGGAAUGAUUCACAUGGAUUCCUACUAAUUCUUUGGAGUACUGGAGUCACCUUUGCAGAACCUUCAGGAGACUGGCUUGAAUAUCACCAGAUAAUCUAAGGUAGAAAUAGUAAUCUGGCUGAAUAUUAGAAUUAUCUAGAGUUUUGCUUUGAUUAGUUCUGCUUCUAAUACUAAUGUCCUGAUGUUUCUCCCAUCCAAAAAGUCUGCUAUUAGGACCAAGCAGGCUAAUUUCUAAAAUAAUGCGGCUCUAAUAAUAAUAAACUGCUAAUAAUAAUAAUAAGCAGCUAUAAUAGCCAUUUUCAUGAUUGAUUCUGAGCAUGCAUCUGUUCACUGAUUUCCCUUGAGGCCUUAAAUUGAGUCCUUCAUAUCAUUUUGGGUGCCUUUGUUUGUUUGUUUUUAAUCAAUCUACACUUUCUCUAUAGAAUGCCAGGAUUUUCAAAAGGUUUCAUAUUGCAUUAUAACUAUUUUGUAUGUUACCUAACUGGUGCAAAACCAGGGCUGCUUCCAAAACAAAUUAUUGAUUCUUGUUCUUUCUUAUGAGUUUGCUAUUCUCCAAUACAAGUUUGUAGAAUAAUAAUUUAAUGUUUAACAGAUGGCCCUGGUAUCAGAAUUGCAUUAUUUUAUAACUCUUGCCCUUACUAACUCUGCAUCUUACUAACUUCUUGGACAAGCUAGGGAACAAUGUUAGUAUUAAUGCAAAGAAAAAUCAUAAAGAUUGGUGGGGUGAUUAUUAUAAAAUUUUUACAUAGUGCCUAGCUCAGAGAAAGUGCUCGAAAUUGUUAAGCAUGUGGUUACAAAAUAUGUAAAUGAUUAUUGUUCAAUUUUUCUCUCCACAUAAAUAACUAACUUUUGAACCUUAGUAACCAAGUGUAGGUGGUUUUGUAUUCAGUCUACUUGCGUAUGUAUUAAGUACAUUUACUGUGAAAGAAACUGGAGAGACAGUCAUUAUUCCUAAUAUUCCCCAAGUGUUAGUGCUCUAAGAUGCUGUCAGUUGAAAAUGAAAACUAUCCACUACAAUGGAAACAGACAUCUUCAGGACUGACUGUGGUCCAAUAUUUGUUUGACCUAUCAAAACAGUGUGGCUAGUACCAGUGCUGUGGUGUAGCAGGUAAAGCUGCCACCUGCAGUGCUGGCAUACAAAUGGGUGUUGGUUCGAGUCCCAGCUGCUGCACUUCUGAUCCAGCUCUCUGCUAUGGCCUGGGAAAGCAAUAAAGAAUGGCCCAAGUCUUUGGGCCCCCUCACCCACAUGGGAGACCUGGAAGAAGCUCCUAGCUCCUAGCUUCAGAUUGGCCCAACUCUGGCUGCUGCCACCAUCUGGGGAAUGCACCAUCAGAUGGAAGACUUCUCUUGCUCUUUGCCUCUCCCUUUCUGUAACUCUGCCUUUAAAAUAAAUAAUAAAUAAAUCUUAAAGUAAAAAACAGUGUUGCUAUGUACAAGUAUAUUUGGUUGUGUUUUUUUUUCCAUUAGCCCCCAAACAUUUUGAAAAUCAGAAAAAAAUUUCACAUAAGAAAAGAACUUGUACCUUCUCUUUGAACCUGAGAUCUGGUAAAGGUGUUGUUCAUUUGGGGCAUGUUUUCUGCAGUUACCUACAUCCUGCUGUCCUCUUCUGUCUCAUCGCUGAGGCCAAUUCAGUUGCUGCUUACAGGGAACUCACACAGUUGGUUUUCUUUUAGUGCAGUUGAAGUGAAUUGUUUUCAUAUCCAUUGAUUUCAAAGAUAGGAAAAUAAAUGUGGGUCAAGGACACACAUGACAAGAAAAAUAGGAGAAAGCAUAAUUAAGAAAAUAAAGCACACUCUUUGUAUCUACAUGUGUAUUUACAUCAAAAUAAAUAUAUAGUACCACACAACAAAACUCCAAGUCAGAAUUUACUAAUAUAUUUUCAGUUUUAGGAAGGAAUUAGGUUUGUCUUGCAUCUUGUUAGAUCAUCUUUACCCUGUGUGUGUGUGUUUUUAAGAUUUUGAAAAAAUAUUUGUCCCUUUGGGACUGGCUUAUUUCACUAAGUAUGAUAUUUUCCAGAUUCAUCCAUUUUGUUGCAAAUGACUGGAUUUCAUUUUUUUUACCACUGUGUACUAUUCCAUAGUGUACAUAUCUCAUAAUUUCUUUAUCCAUUCUUUGGUUGUCGGGCAUUUAGGUUGAUUUCAUUUGUUAUUUAUUGUGAAUUGUGCUGCAAUAAACAUGGGGGUGCAGAUAACUGUUUUCUUAACUGAUUUCAUUUUCCUUGGGUAAAUUCCCAGGAUUGGAUGCCUAGGUCAUAUGGGAGGUCUAUAUUUAGGUUUCUGAGGUAUCUCCAUGCUGUCUUUUAUAGUGGCUUUACCAGUUUACUUUCCCACCAAUAGUGGAUUAGGGUACCUUUUACCAUACAUCCUGGCCAGCAUUUGUUGUUUGUGGAUUUCUCUAUGAAAGCCAUUCUAACUGGGGUGAGGUGACACCUCACUGUGGUUUUGAUUUGCAUUUCCCUGAGAGCUAGAGAUCCUGAACAAUUUUUAUGUGUCUGUUGGCCAUUUGGAUUUCCUUUUUUGAAAAAUGUCUGUUUAAGUCCUUGGCCCAUGCCUUAACUGAGUUGUUUGUUUUGUUGUUGUGUGGUUUCUUGAUCUCAUUGUAUCUUCUGGUUAAAAUACUAUAUCAGUUGCAUAGUUUUAAAAUAAUUUCUCACAUUCUGUCAGUUGUCUCUUCACCUUCCUGAGUGUUUCUUUUGCAGUACAGAAACUUCUCAAUUUGAUGUAAUCCCAUUUGUCAAUUUUGGCUUUGGUUACCUGUGCCUCUGGGGUCUUUUCCAAAAACUCUUUGUGCCAAAGUCUUGCAAGGUUUACCCAGUGUUCUCUAAUAAUUUCAGUGUUGCCUGGCUGUAGAUUUAGAUCUUUAAUCCAUGUUGAAUGGAUUUCUGUGUAAGAUGUAAGGUAGGGGUCUUGCUUCAUACUUCUGCAUGUGGAAACCCAGUUUUCCCAGCACCAUUUGCUGAAAAGACUGUUCUUGCUCCAGGGAUUGGUUUUAGCUUUUUAGUCAAAUAUAAGUUGGUUGUAGAUGCUUGUAUUGAUUUCUGGUGUUUUCUAUUCUGUUCCAUUGGUUUAUCCAUCUGUUUUUGUACCAGACCAGGCUGUUUUGAUUAUAACUGCCUUGUAGUAUAUCUUGAAAUCUGGUAUUAUGAUGGCUAUGGCUUUGUUUUUGUUGUGUAAGAUUGCUUUAGCCAUUUGAGUUCUUCUUAGUUACCAUAUGAAUUUCAGCAUCAUUUUUUUUCUAUAUCUUAGAAGAAGGUCUUGACUAUUUUCAUUGGUAUUGCUUUGAAUCUGUAAAUUGUUCUUGGAAGAAUGGACAUUUUGAUGAUAUUAAUUUUUCCAAUCCAUGAACAUAGAAGAUUUUUUUUAUUUUUUUUGUAUCUUCUAUUUCUUUCUCAUCAUGGAGAUCUUUGACAUCUUUUGUUAAGUUUAUUCCAAGGUAUUUGAUUUUUUUGGUAGCUAUUUUAAAUGAAAUUGAUCUUAGACGUUCUUUCUCAACCAUGGCAUUGUCUGUGUAAUCAAAGGCUGUUGAUUUUUGUGUAUUGAUUUUAUAUCCUGCUACUUUCCCAAACUCUUUUACGAGUUCUAAUAGUCUCUUCGUGGAGUUCUUUGGAUUCCCUAAAUAAAGAAUCAUGUUGUCUGCAAAUAGGGAUAGUUUGACUUCUUCCUUCCUAAUUUGUAUCCCUUUGAUUUCUCUUUCUUGCCUAAUGGUUCUGGCUAAAAUUUCCAGGACUAUAUUGAAUAGCAAUGGUGAGAAUGGGUAUCCCUGUCUGGUACCAGAUCUCAGUGGGAAUGCUUCCAGCUUUUCCCCACUCAAAAGGACACUGUCCAUAGGUUUGUCAUAAAUUGCCUUGAUUGUGCUUGAAGAAUGUCUCUUCUAUACCCAAUUUGCUUAGAGUUUUCAUCAUGAAAGGGUGUUGUAUUUUAUCAGAAGCUUUCUCUGCAUCUAUUGAGAUAAUCAUGUGAUUUUUUUUUUUUGUUCAGGUUGUUAAUGCGAUGUAUUAAAUUGAUUGAUUUGUUACAUUUCUUUUUCAUCUCUAAUUUUAUUGAUUUGGGUCUUCUCUCUCCUUUUUUGGUUAGUUGGGCCAAUGGUGUGUCAAUUUUUUUUUUUUUUUCAAAAAUCCAGCUCUUGGGGCCAGUGCUGUGGCUCACUUGGUUAAUCCUCCACCUGCGGUACUGGCAUCCCAUAUGGGCCGGGUUCUAGUCCCGGUUGCUCCUCUUCCAGUCCAGCUCUCUGCUUUGGCCCAGGAGGGCAGUGGAGGAUGGCCCAAGUGCUUGGGCCCCUGUGCCCACGUGGGAGACCAGGAGGAAGCACCUGGCUCCUGGCUUCGGAUUAGAGCAUUACUGGCCGUAGCAGCCAUUUGAGGAUGAACCAAUGGAAGGAAGACAUUUCUCUCUGUCUCUCUCUUUCUCACUGUCUAUCUGUCAAAUAAAAAAAAAAUAAUAAUAAAAUCCAGCUCUUCAUUUAGCUUAUCUUUUAUAUUUUUUUCAAUUUUGUUGAUUUUUUUUUCUUUAAUUUUAAUUAUUUCUUUUCUCCUAUUAGUUUCGCAUUUGGUUUGCUUUUCCUUUUUUUAGAGCCUUGACAUGCAUUGAUAGCUCAUUUAUUUGGUGCCUAAUUUCUUGAUGUAGGCACCAAUUGUAAAUUUUCCUCUUAACACUGCUUUUGCUGUAUCCCAUAGGUUCUGAUAUGUUAUGUUGUCAUCUUCAUUUGUUUACAGAAAUUUUUUGAUUUCUCUUUUGAUUUCUUCCAAGGUCCGCUGUUUUUCAGGAACAUGUUGUUCAGUCUCCAUGUGUUUGCAUAUGCUUAGAGACUCCUGAGUUGCUGAUGUCCAACUUCAUUCCACUGUUAUCAGAGAAGAUGCAUGGUAUUAUUUUGAUUUUUUGAAUUUUCUGUGAUUUGCUUUAUGGCCUAGUAUGUUGUCAAUCCUAGAGAAAGUUCCAUGCACUGGAAAGAAGAAUGUAUAUUCUGCAACUGUAGGAUGAAAAAUUCUGUAGAUGUCUGUUAGGUCCAUUUGGUCUUUAGAGUCAAUUAAUUCUGUUGUUUCCUUGCUGAUAUUCUGUCUGGUUGAUCUGUCCAUUGCUGAAAGUGGGGUGGUAUUGAAGUCCCCCAUUAUUAUUGUAUGGGAGUCUAUGUCUCCCUGU
This is a long non-coding RNA of Oryctolagus cuniculus (rabbit), 12017 nucleotides long. RefSeq lists it as uncharacterized. Lineage: Eukaryota; Metazoa; Chordata; Mammalia; Lagomorpha; Leporidae. The record is from RefSeq and is a predicted model, not a curated record.